RNAcentral lists this unclassified non-coding RNA (243 nucleotides) under uncultured Limonomyces. Its description in RNAcentral is "partial internal transcribed spacer 2". The record is from RNAcentral. Lineage: Eukaryota; Fungi; Basidiomycota; Agaricomycetes; Corticiales; Corticiaceae.
AUCUCUCAACCUAUUAGAUUGCAAAAUCGAACUAGUGUUGGAUUUGGAGGCUUGCUGGCCUAGUCAGCUCCUCUUAAAUGCAUUAGCUAUGGAUCGCGCAGUUAUUAGAUCUACGGUGUGAUACAUGUCUUACCAAUGGAUCGAAAACUAUAAUCACCGCUUCGGCAGUGUAUACUUUACUGUAUACCGUGUGAUGAGUGAAUACAAAGCUUCUAAUCGUCUGUAAUGGACAACUACUUUGAC